GGGGAUGUCUUGGUUUCGACAGGUCUAUGUUGGAUUCAGACUGCAGUGGAGUGAUGACCUAAUCAUCAAACAAAAAUAUUCGGCAAUAACGAAUUAGCAUUUGCUUAAUCGGUUGAGCGACGUUAGCUCCCAAAGCAGCUUCUAACUGUCAGGUUCAUAGCAGUUAGUCGUAUACAUGAACUAGGAAAAGUAAGUUGCUUCCAUUACCUUACCAUCCGAAAACCGAAAAGAAGGAUUCUUUGCUGGGUAGUUUAAGCCUGAGGCAAAGUCUUACUUAAAAGUUAAACUAAACUGUAGAUGUCUGAAUGUGGACUAUUCUUGGACAGGGGUUCGAGUCCCCUCAUCUCCACCA
RNAcentral lists this transfer-messenger RNA (352 nucleotides) under Erysipelotrichaceae bacterium. It matches the Rfam family "transfer-messenger RNA". Rfam says of the family: Bacterial tmRNA, also known as 10Sa RNA or SsrA, is named for its dual tRNA and mRNA-like properties. Lineage: Bacteria; Bacillati; Bacillota; Erysipelotrichia; Erysipelotrichales; Erysipelotrichaceae. The record is from RNAcentral.